This 88-nucleotide transfer RNA is filed under the name Patescibacteria group bacterium. RNAcentral's name for it is "tRNA-Leu". It matches the Rfam family "tRNA". Rfam says of the family: Transfer RNA (tRNA) molecules are approximately 80 nucleotides in length. Their secondary structure includes four short double-helical elements and three loops (D, anti-codon, and T loops). Further hydrogen bonds mediate the characteristic L-shaped molecular structure. tRNAs have two regions of fundamental functional importance: the anti-codon, which is responsible for specific mRNA codon recognition, and the 3' end, to which the tRNAs corresponding amino acid is attached (by aminoacyl-tRNA synthetases). tRNAs cope with the degeneracy of the genetic code in two manners: having more than one tRNA (with a specific anti-codon) for a particular amino acid; and 'wobble' base-pairing, i.e. permitting non-standard base-pairing at the 3rd anti-codon position. The record is from RNAcentral.
GCCAAAGUGGUGAAAUUGGUAUACACGCUAGCUUCAGGAGCUAGUUCCCUUAAAGGGAGUGUGGGUUCGAGUCCCACCUUUGGCACCA